UUUCAUGACGAAUACCUUGACAAGCAUAUACCUGAAUGUUUAUGUCGAAUACACACUUGACUGAUC
RNAcentral lists this small nucleolar RNA (66 nucleotides) under Drosophila persimilis. Its description in RNAcentral is "snoRNA:GL27860". Lineage: Eukaryota; Metazoa; Arthropoda; Insecta; Diptera; Drosophilidae. The record is from RNAcentral.